Molecule: ribosomal RNA, 255 nt
Filed under: uncultured soil bacterium
Lineage: Bacteria
Description: partial 16S ribosomal RNA
Rfam family: Bacterial small subunit ribosomal RNA
Source: RNAcentral
AGGACGAACGCUGGCGGCGUGCUUAACACAUGCAAGUCGAGCGGUAAGGCCUUUCGGGGUACACGAGCGGCGAACGGGUGAGUAACACGUGGGUGAUCUGCCCUGCACUUCGGGAUAAGCCUGGGAAACUGGGUCUAAUACCGGAUAUGACCUCCGAUCGCAUGGUUGGUGGUGGAAAGAUUUAUCGGUGCAGGAUGGGCCCGCGGCCUAACAGCUUGUUGGUGGGGUAAUGGCCUACCAAGGCGACGACGGGUA